Molecule: ribosomal RNA, 503 nt
Filed under: uncultured bacterium
Lineage: Bacteria
Description: partial 16S ribosomal RNA
Rfam family: Bacterial small subunit ribosomal RNA
Source: RNAcentral
AUUGAACGCUGGCGGAAUGCUUUACACAUGCAAGUCGAACGGCAGCACGGACUUCGGUCUGGUGGCGAGUGGCGAACGGUUGAGUAAUGUAUCGGAACGUGCCCAGUCGUGGGGGAUAACGUAGUGAAAAUCACGCUAAUACCGCAUACGAUCUAUGGAUGAAAGCGGGGGAUCGAAAAACCCCGCGCGAUUGGAGCGGACGAUUUCAGAUUAGGUCGUGGGUGGGGUAAAAGCCCACCAAGCCAACGAUCUGUAACUGGUCAGAUGAGAGGGCGACCAGCCACACUGGAACUGAGAUACGGUCCAGACUCAUACGGGAGGCAGCCGUGGGGAAUUUUGGACAAUGGGCGAAAGCCUGAUCCAGCCAUUCCGCGUGCAGGAUGAAGGCCCUCGGGUUGUAAACUGCUUUUGUACAGAACGAAAAGGAUUCUACUAAUACUAGGAGCUCAUGACGGUACUGUAAGAAUAAGCACCGGCUAACUACGUGCCAGCAGCCGCAGUAA